This 360-nucleotide ribosomal RNA is filed under the name uncultured bacterium. Its description in RNAcentral is "bacterial SSU rRNA". It matches the Rfam family "Bacterial small subunit ribosomal RNA", at positions 28 to 392 of the family's 1533-position model. The record is from RNAcentral.
GAUGAACGCUGGCGGCAUGCCUAAUACAUGCAAGUCGAACGAAAGGCUUCGGCCUUUAGUGGCAAACGGGUGAGUAACGCGUAGGCAACCUGCCCUUCAGAUGGGGACAACACCUCGAAAGGGGUGCUAAUACCGAAUGACGUUUCCUAGUCGCAUGACCUGGAACCAAAGGCCGGGCAACCGGUCACUGAAGGAUGGGCCUGCGUCUGAUUAGCUAGUUGGUGGGGUAACGCUCACCAAGGCGACGAUCAGUAGCCGGUCUGAGAGGAUGAACGGCCACAUUGGGACUGAGACACGGCCAAACUCCUACGGGAGGCAGCAGUGGGGAAUCUUCCGCAAUGGGCGCAAGCCUGACGGAGC